CCAGACUCCUACGGGAGGCAGCAGUGGGGAAUAUUGCACAAUGGGGGAAACCCUGAUGCAGCGACGCCGCGUGAGUGAAGAAGUAUUUCGGUAUGUAAAGCUCUGUCAGCAGGGAAGAAAAUGACGGUACCUGACCAAGAAGCCCCGGCUAACUACGUGCCAGCAGCCGCGGUAAUACGUAGGGGGCAAGCGUUAUCCGGAUUUACUGGGUGUAAAGGGAGCGUAGACGGCAGGGCAAGUCUGGAGUGAAAGGCGGGGGCUCAACCCCCGGACUGCUCUGGAAACUGCCAGGCUGGAGUGCAGGAGAGGUAAGUGGAAUUCCUAGUGUAGCGGUGAAAUGCGUAGAUAUUAGGAGGAACACCAGUGGCGAAGGCGGCUUACUGGACUGUAACUGACGUUGAGGCUCGAAAGCGUGGGGAGCAAACAGGAUUAGAUACCCGAGUAC
RNAcentral lists this ribosomal RNA (445 nucleotides) under uncultured bacterium. RNAcentral describes it as "bacterial SSU rRNA". It matches the Rfam family "Bacterial small subunit ribosomal RNA", at positions 331 to 793 of the family's 1533-position model. The record is from RNAcentral.